RNAcentral lists this ribosomal RNA (88 nucleotides) under Vibrio parahaemolyticus. RNAcentral describes it as "partial 16S ribosomal RNA". It matches the Rfam family "Bacterial small subunit ribosomal RNA", at positions 1 to 85 of the family's 1533-position model. RNAcentral also lists the same sequence under 1 other name. The record is from RNAcentral. Lineage: Bacteria; Pseudomonadati; Pseudomonadota; Gammaproteobacteria; Vibrionales; Vibrionaceae.
UUAAAUUGAAGAGUUUGAUCAUGGCUCAGAUUGAACGCUGGCGGCAGGCCUAACACAUGCAAGUCGAGCGGAAACGAGUUAUCUGAAC